GUUUGAUCCUGGCUCAAGAUGAACGCUAGCGGCAGGCUUAACACAUGCAAGUCGAGGGGCAGCAUGUCCAGCAAUGGAUGAUGGCGACCGGCGGAAGGGUGCGUAACGCGUGAGCAACAUGCCCUAUACAGGGAGAUACACCAGGGGAAACUUGGUCUAAUAUCCCAUAUCAUUCAUUGAAGGCAUCUUUAAUGAAUUAAAGCUUCGGUGGUAUAGGAUUGGCUCGCGUGACAUUAGCCAGAUGGUGAGGUAACGGCUCACCAUAGCAAUGAUGUCUAGGGGUUUUGAGAGGAAGGCCCCCCACACUGGGACUGAGACACGGCCCAGACUCCUACGGGAGGCAGCAGUGAGGAAUAUUGGACAAUGGAUGGAAAUCUGAUCCAGCCAUGCCGCGUGCAGGAAGACGGCCUUAUGGGUUGUAAACUGCUUUUAUACGGGAGCAAUAAGGGUUACGAGUAAUCCGAUGAGAGUACUGUAUGAAUAAGGAUCGGCUAACUCCGUGCCAGCAGCCGCGGUAAUACGGAGGAUCCGAGCGUUAUCCGGAAUUAUUGGGUUUAAAGGGUGCGUAGGCGGCCAUUUAAGUCAGCGGUGAAAUUUUGCAGCUUAACUGUAACAGUGCCGUUGAUACUGUUUGGCUAGGAUUUGGUUGUAGUGUGCGGAAUGUGUGGUGUAGCGGUGAAAUGCUUAGAUAUCACACAGAACACCGAUUGCGAAGGCAGCACACUAAGUCAUUAUUGACGCUGAGGCACGAAAGUGUGGGGAUCAAACAGGAUUAGAUACCCUGGUAGUCCACACGUAAACGAUAUAGGUCGCUGUCGGCGAUACACAGUCG
RNAcentral lists this ribosomal RNA (832 nucleotides) under uncultured bacterium. RNAcentral's name for it is "bacterial SSU rRNA". It matches the Rfam family "Bacterial small subunit ribosomal RNA", at positions 11 to 839 of the family's 1533-position model. The record is from RNAcentral.